Amphiprion ocellaris (clown anemonefish) is the source of this 5697-nucleotide long non-coding RNA. RefSeq lists it as uncharacterized. The record is from RefSeq and is a predicted model, not a curated record. Lineage: Eukaryota; Metazoa; Chordata; Actinopteri; Pomacentridae. The transcript has 5 exons.
AGGGCGGAGCCAGAGAGCAGCGAUUGGUCAGACCGUAGAUAAUAUAGAAGACAGCGCGCAAGCGUAUCUAGUAUAUGUAUAUCUAUGGUCGGCACGUCUGGUGGCAUCUCUGGCUGCUGUUGAUCUUGUUUUUGGAGUAAAACACGGUGGAAGCUGAAUUAGUGAGGAUGACUCCUGCUCCUGUCAUCUCUAAGCUCCUCACACAUCUUUACCUGCACAUGAGGAAAAUCACUCCUGUAGAAUGCAGUGGUUCAUCAGAACCUCUGGGGAUGUCCUGUGGAUUCUGUGGAUCCUGUGGGUUGCAGGGUGGAUCCUACCUAGACCAGGCUGAUCCUGGACCAUCCCACAGAUGCUCAAUCAGAUCUGGAUGUGGGGAGUGUGGAACCCAGAUGUUCAGAGGGAGAUGAUGCCACAUCUGGUCCAGCUGAUGGAAGGUCUUGAAGUUCUCUGACUGGCCUCGACUGAAGAUGGUCGUCUCACUGGAUUUAAGGUUCAGAUGCUCAGUAACAAACUCCACCAAUGAGCCAACAGGGAAGCUUUAGGUUUAUUAAAUGUUGCUAUGAAGGUUUCGCUGUUUUUCUUUGUGAAUGCAAUGUGCUCCAGCUGAAAGUUGAAUUAGAACUUAGAAGUAAAUCCUUCCAUCUGAAAGGAUUUAGUUGCAUUAAUAACCUCAUAACAUUCUAAUUUUUAUUCCAGUCUUAGUUGGAAAUAGAAUCUCUGUAUUGAUUCAGGUAAAAACUGAACUUCACAGCAUGUUGAAGCAAAACAACCAGAUGAAAACUGUGAUGGUGUUGGAUUGUCAGACCGUAAUGUUGCAGCUCAAAGCAGCUUUUCUAGCUCAGUUCAUUGUGACAUUCAGCUAUGAAUCAACACAGCAGAUGGUGAUCCAUGCUGUGGAAGUCUCACAUCUCCUGAUUUAAUGGAGCUGCUUUGCACUUUUUACACUGUUUAUUCACCAACACUUUAUUUAAUAAAAGUCCCAUCUAGUUUUUAUGAGGAAAGUGAUGUUUUAAUUUCUCUGUGAAUAACUGCAGUCUAAUGCAACAGCUGGAGUUGUAACAUCUGUCCUGAUAUUGAUCAUGAAGUAUUGAUCAGAAUACUUAUGGUUAGCAGUCAUCCCUGAAGUUUUACAUUAAAAUCUUUACUUGUGUUGUGAACUUUGGUAAGAAGCAGAAACGUUAGUGUUGCCAUGGAUACAUGAGUGUUAAAUUCUGUCCAUGUUUCCAUUUUGGGAAAUUCAGUCCAGUUCCAGAAUGUGGAGGAAUUUAGUCUCACAAUCACAGACAAUAAAUAUUAUCUGAAAGUCGGGUUAUUGUUGUUUAUCAGCACAAUACAAAAAGAUUAGUGUUAGAAAUAUUCCAGUUAAGACUCUAGAAUAUCAUGAUUUAUGUAAAUUUACCUCAAUAAUAUGAAUGUUCAGGUUAAGAUUGUACAGUGAUAUUUAUUAUGUAAGUUUAGCUGAUUAAAGUUUAUGACUGCACUAAAACAUUAUUUAAAUUGACAUCAUUAUUAUAAUAUUUAGGGUCAGACCCUACAGUAUUGAGAUUAAGAAAUCAAAUAUUCUAUAAAAUGUAAAUACACUGAACUCAUUUGGAUAUAUUUAAGUGAGACUCUACAAUAUUAUUUGACACAAAUCUAUCUAAAUCAAAAUUUUAAUAAUUUUCACGCCAAACAUUUACUGGACUGAUUUAAACAUUAAAAUCACUCCUUUCUAAUCCUCUGCUGUACGUUCAAACCUGAGGCCUUAAAUAGAAACACACAAGUAUCUGAUUGAAGGAACUUCUGCAGAGUCCUGGUUCCAGAACAUGAUGAUAGAAUUAUAGACAAACUUUAACAAAAGCUGCCUGAGAGUUUAUAGGUUUUUAUGUUGGAUUUCUUCAGUAAUUUAAUGAGAGUUAUCAGCAAAAAUCAAGUGUUCAUUUGAUGAACUUCAUUUCCUAAAACAUCCAGAAUUGGAGCUCAUAUCUUUGGCAGCUGUAAAGUUUCUGCUCCUUCAGAGUUCACAACACAAUGAAUUAAUUCCUAAAACACUCUUAAUGCUGGAGAGCGUUUGUGAUGCUGAAGCAGUGACCAGUUUUUCUGUUUCUUCUCUGGAGAUGCACAAUGAGGGACGUCUGCAGAGACUGAGAAAGAGUCUCACCACAUCCUGACAUGAGGAAAAAGACUUUAUUGAAGACUACAAUGAGAAAAACUAUCAGACAGCAGACGGCUGCAUUCAAGGCUACAGGAGGAGUCCUACGAGGACGAGCCGGUCCACCUGAUGGAGGCCAGUCGCUGCGGUUCAAAGCCAACACCGACUACGUGGACUUCUACUGGACCACAUGGAGGCCUUCAAACCGGACCAACAAGUUCAGCGACUCCCCGACUCGUGGGUCUGUGGACGCCGCCGAGCCUCGGUCCAGCCGGCCGCCUGUCUGUGGGUGUUUGAGUGCUGAGAGGUUUGUGGAUGCAUGUGAACGUUCUGUGUUGAAACAGCAGCUUUGGACUCAGUAACGCUGGGAAAAACCAAGAGCUCCUUUAUUUGUGACUUCCACUAAAAAACUGAUGAAAAUAAGUUUGCCAGGGUUCUGACUGGUAACAGAUUAUUAAAUAAUGAAAAUAAUCAUUUAAAUAUUCCUUUAAACAACCCUUUUAGGUCUACAUUUCCUUUACACUGACUUCUUGGUAUAUGUACAAGUAUUUUGGGUGGAAUAUACCAUUAAGCCUGAUGUUCAAGGGUUCUUCUGGGAAUAUACCAUUAAACCAACCUUUUAGGUAAAUGUUCCAAGAUGUUGAGUAGAAUGUACCAUCAGAUCAACCUUUUAGGUCUACACUGGAAGAUUUUAGAGUAGAAUAUUACUCCAAACCAUCCUUUAGGUCUACAUUUAAGGUGGAAUACUCCUUUACACCAAGAUUUUUUGGUCUACAUUGAAGGAUUUUAGGUGGAAUGUUCCUUUGAACGAACUUCUUAAGUUUAUGUUAAAGGAUGUUGGGUGGAAUAUACCAUCAGACCAACCUCCAAGGUCUACAGUAGUGAAUUUUAGGUGGAAUAUACCAUUAAACUCACCUUUUAGGUCUACAUUGGAGGGUUUCAGGUGGAAUUUUCUUCCAAACCAUCUUUUAGUCUACAUUUAAGAAUGUUUAGGAUGGUAUAUUCUUCCGAACCAACUUCUCAUGUCUACAUUUCAGGUGGAAUAUUCCUCCAUACUACCUUUUUUGGUCUACAUUGAAGGAUUUUUUCUAAACCACCUUUUUGGGUCCAAAGUUCCCUGUAGUUUUUCCUGAGUCUGAGCAAACACACAAACUCCCUGAGCGUCCCUUGGACCACUGUGAGCAACAUCAGACGUGUGCACUGUGGUCACACCAGCAUCACAUCCAUUCAAGUUACAUGGUUCAUUAAAAGAAUCAAAUUACAGCAUUUACAUUUCUGUUAAAACACUUUGUCAACAGGAGCCAGUUGAAGGCUGCAGUGAUUUUAGUGACACUACAAUGUAUAAGAGUGAAGUUAUUGAAUAUUUGUCUCUCUUUACUGUUGCAGCGGUUUUGCAAAUUGCAGACGGACCCUGUUCACUCCAUAGACACCAAUGUUAUUCCUGUAGCUUGAAAGACAGCUACUUUUGAUAAAACUGGGCUUGUAGCACAUUGUCUGCCUUGCAACAAUGAGAAAGAGGCACCGUUUAUGUUUUGACAACCUAUAUCUAAUGAGUUAUUGAUGCUGGAAGUCCGAAUCUGUGAAUAUCUUUCCAACUUUACUGAACUUGGGGCCACUACCACCUAAGGAGUGAUAUAUUUAAUUUUGAAAAAAGCAUUUAGCCAUACUUAAAGCUUUAAGUGCUUUAUUAAUACGGAACUAAAAAUUUUGUAUUGUUUUAUUAUCACAGGUUCUGUCUGAAAAGAGGUGGCAUCAUUUUAAACAGUGAAAUCAAACUAACAAAAUGUAACGACCAACCAGUGAGCAAUACUGGAUUCUGCAAAAACAUAAACAACUUUUUAAAAAAUCUAAAUCUUAUCUUAACACAGUUAAUGUAUUAACUUAUUUAUGUGUGUAUGCAUGUAUUUAUUGAUUUAUUUAGUACUGUUAACAUAUCAGAGUUCUGAGUGAAUUUUUCUUAAGAUAGGCAAAGGCCAUUUAUUGAUUACAUAUAGGCUGUUAAAUGUUUAUUAAAAACUAAAAAGCAUUUUUAAAAAAACAACUUAGGCAUUUAUUGAGUCACUAAAAUACUGUAGAGUACAGACCACAUCAGCAUGAUUAUAAGCAUCCUCUGGUAAAUUAACAACCAGAUACUGAUGUCUCUCACCAUAUGGACUUCAGGAGAUGACUGGGGGAUGAUAAACUGUGACCUACUGGUUGGAUUCUCUCUGUUCUCAUGUUUCUUACAUGUUUGUCCCCUGACAGCCGGGUCCUAAUGUUUUCUGAGCAACACACCAUACUAUGACGUUUUUACAAUGAUGGUUCUACUAUGGAACCAGUUUGACAUGUUCAGGUGUUCUUUGUGUGAAAACUCAGAGAUUUCAGGGAUCAGAAGGUGGUUUUCAACUUUCUUUGUUAACUUUCUGCUUCAACUUUAAAUUAAAUUUCCUUCACUAACCCAGCCCUCUGGACUUCCAGUAAGCUGUGUUCCUAUUGGCUGUCCAGGUGGCUGCUUGGUGUUAUCAGGAACACCUGAGCAGCUCAGUGUCUUCCUGCUUUAUUUAGCUGCAGACAAACAUUUCCUCUGCUUCUAUUCACCACUGAACCGGGUUUGGCUCCAUUGCUUCAGUUUGUUCUUUAGGCGUUGGCUUGCAGCUUCCAGCAGUAAAAUCAUCUUUAAUGUGUUUCUUGGUGUGUUUUAGGGCUUUGUACUGGAUAGUUGUCUUGGUAAAUGUGGUUCUUUAGCCACAGUUAGCACAUGGUGCUGAUGUUUGCAGUGAUUAGUGGAUUUGGUGCAGCUGAGUUGUGUCUUUAUCUUGGCUGUAGUGAGUCUUUAGAGGUUUCUGGUCAGACACAUUCUGUAUUCCUGUUUGUGAACCAAUGUUGGUUGUCCAGAAGGUAAGAGUUCCUGUCCUGAUUCUCUGUUCUCAGAGGUUCUCUGGUAGGCUGCAGGAGACUUUAGCGUUUGGGUUGUGCUAGUUUGGUUUUUGUAUGGUUUCAUUUGGACGACUAUCUUGAGGCCCCUCCAUGUAGUUUAGUGAGGUUUUCUGCAACAGUUCUACAAAGCAACCUGCAGCAGAAGAGACUUUGAGAGUUUUUAGGAAGUUCUGUAGACCAGACUUUAGAGCAGCAGAAACAUUUGUCAGCAGUUUGAGCAGGAGAAGGUGAGCUUCAGAGUAGAAAUGAGACAGAAACCUUCUUGACCCGUGUGGUGAGGUCCUGUACCAAGAGUUUGAGCAGGUUGUGAAGAGUCUGUAGUUCUUUGGUCUGAAAGCACAAGAAGAGUCGACUCAUUAAAGGAGAAAACAGGAGAUAUUGUUGGUUCUUCUGUCGCUCUGCAGUUUCCUUAGACUAAAUAUCAAGUUUAUAUGUUAAAUGAUUUCCCAUGUGAGCCCAAGAAGACUUCAAUAAACUCCCUCCAUCCCCUGGACACAACAUAUUUUAUUACCAUGUUAAAUCUAUUUUUUGAAGUGUUUCUGAGUUUUAAUCAUAGUUUUAGCAUAGUUUUUUUUUCUCUUUGCUUGUUUAGUUUUGUCAUCUGUGUAAAAGGUGCUAAACAAAUAAAGCUGAAUUGAUAAACUGAAUAA